GCCUUUGUCAAUCUUCUCUUUUUAGUUUUUCCUUUCUUCUUUUCUUUGGUAUAUGAAAUAUUGUUGACUUGUGGAGUGUAAAAUCUGUUAGUUGUAAUUUCUGGGUUUUUGAUAUCAACAGUUGCCAUUGGUAGAUUUGGACCAUUGGGCGGGUCUCGUCUUUUUUCAGAUUUUCUCUGCCGUCGUCCAAGUAAAUCUGUUACUGUUUUGCGGAAUAGUUUAGCCUCUUCUUCAUUAGCAAAGUUAAGACCAACUUGACAUGUAUCUCCAGCGAAGGUAUGAAAAUAUCCUCUAGGACUAUUAUAUACAAAGUUAUUGUACAGCUCCUGCUCCCACAAUAAUUUCCCAUCCUUAAUGUCAUAUAUUCUGAUAAAAUAUGACCUCUGCGGAUUGUCCUUUACAAGGCAAGCUACACCACAGCAUUUCUUUGACCACAUGGCAUUGCGAUCUGCUGCAUAUAUUUGAACAACAGCUGAAGACAUCGUCACGCAUUUCUUGCCGAGGAAGCUGAAGAGGCUCUCGUUCUCCUGCGGGGUGAGCAGCAGCGAGCCGACGUUGGUGACCCGCCGCGGCUGCGGGGGCUGCUGCGGGGCGCCGCUCAUGGCCGGGCCGGCACGGCGCUGCCCUGCGACCGUUGGAGCCCGCGGCCCCCUACUCCUCCUCCUCCUCCGCGGCGGCCUCACUCACAGCAGCCGCAUCGCGGAGCCUCCCUCUCGGGGUCAGGGAAGGAGGGAGGCGGAGGGGUAGGGGGGCCCGGAGAGCGGCCCGCGGAGGGGACGCCGGGCAGGAGGCAGCCCCGGCGCGGCAGCCGAUGGCGCCCGCCCCUCCAAGCGGCACUAAACUUCCAACUUCGGCCCGGCUCCGGCGGCCGCACAAUCCAACAUGGCAGCGGGGGCGGGCGAGACCACAGCGCGCGGCAGCCAGAGGGGAGGCCGUGAGAGAGAGAGGGAGAGAGCGCGCCGCCGCUGCGACCAUGCGCCGUGCGGGCCGCCGCCGCCUUCCGCUCCCGCCCCUCCUCGCCCCGCCAGCUGUCGGGGAGAGCCGCCCAGCCCUGCCCUCAAUACCUGCCCGGCCGGCCCGGCGGCUGCGGCGGGGCGGGGAGUGCGACAGGAGGAAGAGGAAGGAGCCAGGAAUGAGGAAGGGACACAGUGGGAUGCGGUGCUCCUGAGGCCGCGGGGGCAGCCGACCGGGCCCCUCGCUGGCUGCAAAGCUCUCAGCCCCGGGUCUGUAAAGCACGAGCGGGGCCACGGAGCAUUCACUUGGGGGAGAAAGGAGGUCUCUGCUAGGAGCCCUCAGCAAACGCCAUUAACGUUAAGUGAAGUUGGACAGCACAGUGGAGACUCGGGGCAGCCCGGCUUCGUGUGGUGCGGCACCUCGGGAGCUGAGCUCCUGUCCAGUUUUGAGUCAAGCGUGGUUUAAUUUGUAACUCAAAAACCUUUGUGACCUUUUGUCAUUGGAAGGAGAAUGUCUCUUUGUGGUUCACCAUGCAAAUUAUCAAUUGCAUUACCACACGCUUACGUUGGGGGUUAAUGAUGCGUUCUUGCUGUGCAGAAGCAAUUCCCUCUCUUUGCACAGUCACCCGGGGGGGGUGCGGAGGAGUGGGUGUCAGCCAUCGCACUGCCGUGCAGCUGGAGGUAAAACACUGCAAGCGGCAGUGGGAACUGUGAGCUCCCAGGGGAAGCUGCUGGGAAGAAACACUGCGUACAGGCAGUGCCUGUUGGCAGCAGAGCUCUCUCGCCCUGCUUCACCCCACGUGUCGGUAUCCAGCACAGAUGGAGGCUGAAGGCAUUCAAAGCUCAAAGACACUGAGCUCAGCUGCUGUGUGCCCAGGCUGUCUUUGGCUGCGUGGAAGAAAUGCUCACGCUUCGUGAGGACAAAAGUGAACACCAGUGGGAUUCUGGGGUGCAUUAAAAAGAGCGUGGCCAGCAGGUCGAGGGAGGUGAUCCUCCCUCUCUGCCCUGGUGAGGCCACAUCUGGAGUACUGUGUCCAGUUCUGGGCUCCUCAGUUCAAGAAUGACAAGGAACUUCUAGAGAGAGAAGAUGAGGAGGAGCCUGGAGCAUCUCCCAUAUGAGGAAAGGCUGAAAGACCAGGAACUAUUCAGCCCAGAGAAGAGAAGACUAAGAGGGGAUCUCAUCACUAUUUGUAAAUAUCUGAAACGUGGGAGUCAAAUGGAUGGGGCUUUUUUUCAGUGUUGUGCAGAACCUGGACAAGGGGCAAUAGGCACAAAGUGGAACACGGGAAGUACCAUACAAAUGUGAGGGAACUUGCUUUAGCAGAAGGUUGGACUCGAUGAUCCUCAGAGGUCCCUUCCUACAGCUACAAUUCUGUGAUAUGUUGGUUUUACCUCCUCUGAUAAAUCAAUUGUCCAUCUGGAAGACAAAGCAACACCCCCAUGCUGAUAUGCUUUGUAUUAGAAGAACUGAAGAAGCACAGGAGGAAGGGAACUAGAGAAACACCAGGGGAAAACCUGUGAACACAAAUCUUUGUAUGAAGCUCUGCUGACUUCAUAUCUUCCAAAAGGUCAGGCAGAAACAGAUGGCAGCCCCUUUUCCCAUACUUAAAAGAGCAUGUAACUAUGUCCUAAAACAGAAGGAAGAAUGAGUAGUGGAAAAUCCCAAUCUUUCAGCAAAAAAAAAAUAUGUAUAUGCAUAUACAGGACUCGGCAUGAAGCUUUCACAGAAGUGGCAUGGGUCUUUACUGUAAAGAAAAAGCAAACAAUAGGAAUCCAUACUUUCAAAGUAUUUUUAUCAGUUGUAGGUUCUUCAGUCUUCAUUUCUUUACUAUGUAAGUAUGUGCAUAUUUUAGUAAAAGGGGAAAUAUUUUAGCUAAGGAAUAUUGGCAGCAUUCCGUUUGUUGAAAAUGUAUGUAAAGAGAUAAAACACAUGGAAGCACUUUACAAAGCACUUUUUUUUUUCCCCUUGCAUAACAAUUAUUUUAUAGCCAGAGCCUGUUUCAGUGAAAUGUAAGUACCUGUCUUGGUGGUUACAGUGUAAAUAGGUAAAAAUAUAAUGCACAUUUCACCAGUACUGGUACUCUCCUCAUAUCUCUGCCCCGCUGCAUUUGUUGCUCUUUUCCUCAUUUCUGGUAACUUUUCCUAUUUGUUCCUCACGGUGUAGAUCCUUCCAUUCAAACAGAGUCCUGAUUUUAGUUGUGAUGCUUUUUGCUUCAUGCUGUUCUUCUGACACCAGCUGGCUUGUAGCUAUUCUUAAGGGCCUUCAACUUUCAGGCUCUAUUGUUUGGGUUUUGUUUGUUUUUUUAAUGGGGUAGACAGGAAAGGGAAGAAAAAAGGACUAUUUUCAGAUCCUGUGUUUCAUUAAUUAUGCAAAAGCUGUUUCUGUUUUUGUAUCACAGCAAAGCAGUGAGUCCUGAGGUGAAAUGGAAAUAUCAGUAUCUGGUGAUGAGUACGAGGGACUCAAAGAGAAAUAGAUUUAUGCCUUUAGUAUUUACAUUUGCAGUAAUAUCAGCAAAAAGCUGCUAUUCCUGCAUAAAAUAUCUAAUUUCAAGCAAAAUUCUAUUGAGCAAAACCACCAACCAGAAUUAUCUGACUAUAUUUUGAAGAAAUUGCAGUGCUCUUUCUGACCUCUUAGAGAAAUUGCUGUCAUUGUUUAUCCUAAGCUUUCCUCUGAAUUUUCUACUGUAGUACGAAGCUUCAAACUGUGUUGCCCACUCCUGAUGCCUCUAAACAUGUGGGAAGCAGCUACUAAUUUGUAUUUUUCUAUUCCUCAAUGAUGCCAGUUCACAACAAGUACAUUGGAAGUGACGUACUCAUAUCAAUAUAAAUAAGUGGCCUGAUUUUACAGGUUUGUAAUAUAGAUGCAUAUUUAAUAAACAGAUUUGAUGAUCCUUGGCAGACUUAUCUUUCACAGAAAUUUUGUCUCUCUGAAGUUUGUCUUUAAAUGUGGACUGUUACAACUCUCAGUAUUUUUUUUUCAGGCUGAAAAUUGCAUUCCAUAACUAGUCUAAAGUUAUGUUGAGUUUCAGACCUUAAAUAUUAACCCGAUUUCAGAAAUAAAGUUCUGCAAUAGAAAAUGAUGUAAAAAAGGUCAUACAGUGUGGUUCUCUUAUUUUCUAUAACAUGAGGCAACAGUUGAUUACACUGAAUAGCAAGCAAGAUUAAAGGGAAAUGAAAUUUAAAAAUGAAAAAUAAAUCCUAACUAACUUCUGUCUUCAAUCUCAUCUUCAAUGGCAAGUGAAACAGUAUGGUACAGGCACAAACAUCACUGCAGCAACCACAUAAACAUGGCUGGGGGAGAUCACAAUUGUGAAUGUGUGAUUAGUGUCACCACACUCGGAGUAUGUUAACAGGGCGGCAGAAGAACAGACCAAAAGAAAAAAGGAAAGGCUCCCUUUCCCUCAGCACCCUUUCUGGCUGGGCCUGUAGAAAACCAGUCCAUUUACUGCGAAACCACUUGUGGUAACCAAAAAAGGGAACUCUCAUUGUGGUUGAAAAUGGUUUUUGAACUGUGAAGGUACAAGUUCUCUUUUUCAGUAAGCCACAUUAUUUUUUUCUACAUAGACCUCAUUGAAGAGAUUUGGGUUUAAAUUAUUACUGAAUCAAUGACAAUUAACAUAUUAGCUAUUUUACUCAGAAGAACUUCCUUCACUUCUGUCUGUGUACUGAACCAUGAAGCAUUCGGGAAUCCCAGCCUGCUCUGAAGGGAACUGGAUCAUCAAGUUACAGCUCAUUUCAGGUCCAGUCGCUGUAUUUCAUUUCACUGAGAUUUUAUGUCAUUCGUUUCAGUCACAGGAGGACAUGAAGCAGCCACAGAUGUUGCAAAGUUGACGACUGAGUUUGAAAGUUGACAAUUAAGUUUGAUUUUAAUUAGUAAAGCCUCUGCUAACUCCUUAUAAGUAUGGAACUGUUGUGUCAGUAGAAGAAUCCUCCAUUUGAGGGCCGGCCAGCAGAAGAGCAUCCUUGCCGCUAGAGUGAGCAGACUGAAGCCUGAGAACCCAUGCAGUAGGACAAUAUGUUCUUUCAUUUCUUGCACAAAUGCUGACGUGUGUGCCAGCUAGAACUUUUUCUUCACUUGUAGCGCCUGUUACUUGAAUCUUUGUUUCUUGUGUCUUCUCUAGACCUCCUUUUCAGCUGUAAAUUGUUUACUUGAGGAUGAAGGAAAGUAAUUUGUGCUCUUCUAUUUUGCUCAGCAAAAUAUAUCAUUAAUUUUGCUUUGGAUGUAGAAUUUUAUUUUGAGUAUCUUGGUGUCAGAUACUGAUGUGAAAUAAGUUGAAAUCAUUUACAGGUCUUCCUGAGCUUAUCUACAGUUCCUUAAUGGCCUGAAAGACUGAAAAGUAUUAGUGUCCUUUUCAAGGCUGUGUAGGAGAAGAACCAAAGUGGAAAAUGAGGCAUCCUCUCUUUCCUUUUAAUACCUCUUUGUUAUGCAAGUAUAUUGAUCAUUGUCUGCAGUAACAGUGGAACAGUUCUGUGGCUGCUCUGAAAAUUAGAAGAAAAUGUUUUCCCUUCCUCAGCCUAACUAUCAUCAUAGCUCAUCUUCAGAACAGUACGCCACAGUGUUUGUUGAAACACUCUUUAGUCUUCUUGCUUGGCUUAUACCUUAGAAGAGAUAAUUCCUAAGUUUUACACCCAACAAUAAACAUGAAUGGAGUACUUCAGUUUAUUUUGAUUUAUCUGCAGGUAUUAAAAAGAACUUGCACUCUUUCCUCUAAGUUUCCUGAUAGCUUUUAAAUUCAGUGUAAUGAAAUUUCUUUCCAGCCAUUAACCAGCCACUGUACAGCUCAAGAACCUCAACAGUUAAAAAUAAUAAUAAAAAAAAUAAAAUAGGAAAAUGCUUUCUUUCCUUACUGUUGUACAGUCAUGCUGUACAUUUCCUUAACAACAGAAAUCUUGCUCUGGCUUUGAAAUGUCAGCUUGUUUGCAGCGUGACUGACCUCCCACCCUGACCAGCUUGGCUGUGAUCAGGAAGCCUCAUCCUCACUGAGCUGAGGGUAGAGCAAGACAAGUACAUUUGAAAUCCAUCCUUUUUACUGGCACUGGCAGUGCUAAAUGUGUUCAUAUUUGCCCUCUGAUAGCUAGCUCAAGAUCAGUGCUCUACACCCAGUAUGUCAUUGAAUAACUGUCAAAUAUGCAAUGCAACUCAACAACAGUUGCAAUUUGUAUCCUGGUGGAUGAUUUAUUUGCUUUUUGUAGCUUUUCAUUUUUAAUUCCUUUUUUUUUUUUUUCUUUUUCUUUUUUUCUUUAAUUCUGUAUCCUGCACUGAACAGCCCUAAGGAAUAGGCAUGAACUGUACCUUGGUUCCUGAUGGUGUUCCUGAUGGUGUUGUUCUGGGCCUUACAAAACCAGAUCCUCACUGCAGCUCUGGGGUAUGCCAUGUUGUUCUUCUGCUGCCCUCCAGUAAGGUCGAAGAGCCAGAUUCCAUCAAGAAUCAGCCUUCAUCUGGCAGAAAGAUCCAGACCUAGGGUUUUGCUGCUGCUUCAAGCUGUCUCUUAUGUGUUAGAGCUUCUUUAAUCAUCCUGUCCGUGUGGUUUUGCUAGUUAAUGCAAAUGUUGAAAGGGGAAAAAAGGAAAGAAAAGAAAGAGCAGCAGUCUUCACAUAUUAUCAUUUUUGAAGGCUUGUUGCUCCACCUCAUAAAGCAAAACUGAGAACAUGCAUAUCUUGAUCAGCCUGAUUUUUUUGUUCAAGAUUAUUUAUGUCAGCUCCAGGCCAACUACAGCCUCUGGUGUGGUGACCCAAAUUGUUUUUAGAGGAAAAAGAGAACACACUUAACAAAUAGAGAAGCUUAACAGUAUAUAAGCAAAACGAAAUGGAAAGUAUAGCAAACUGUCAUGAGAAGAUGGAUGAAAACCAUCAAACUUUUUCAAAACUAUGUGCAAUUGACUGCUGUUUACGUAUAUGAUGCAUCAGCAAGACAACCUGCAGUCUGCCUUGUUUUCUACCACAGAAGUAAGAAGCCUAAAAAUCUUUAUGUUUGAAUGCAUCCUGGUAAGUAAAGCUAAUCAAAUUUCUGUUAGAACUAAGGAAUAUCUAGAAUUUAGAUAGGCAGGCAAGUUACUCUGAUUGGUAUUUUUUUGUCUGCCCUAUUGUUACAUUCAAUUAAAGACUCUUUCCAUGCUAUAUUAAGAUGGUAGACAUGGUAUCAGCGCAUUACAUGAAUAUCUGCCACUUCAUUCAUGCUUGCCAACAAAGUCGUGCUCCUUGCAAAGAAGUAGAAGUUGCUAAUUUGAUGAGAACUACUCUUUUUUUUUAAUUUUUUAAUUUUUUUUUCUCUUAGUGAGUAUUAGCUAAAAUAUUGCGGCGUCUGUAGCACAGUAGUGCCUGAAGCCCUGCCCUGGUCUGAUGCCUUGGUGCCUAUGAGAAUACCUAUGAGAAUAUGAGAAUACACAAAUACCUAUGAGAACCCAGAGGCUGUGUCAAGGGAGGAGGCAUUAAACUUUGAGGGGAACAUCUGCAUCUUGCCUCUUAAAACCAGCGUGGAUAAAUGCCAGCGCUGUAGGCUACAAACUGAAGUAGAGACAUUUAUUUAAGUUCCUUUAAUUGAUUUUUUUUUCUAUGCUUGUUUGCAACAAAUGGGUUUUGGAAGAUAUGUAUGUACCGCUUUUUUUUUUUGUUUGUUUGUUUGUUUUUUGUUUUUUGUUUUUUUGCAGGCACUACAGCGCUUCAAGCCAACCAUCAAUUUUGUUCAAAUAUAUCUAUCUGUUUCAAACCUAUAAUUUUUCAGCUGAUGAGGUAUUUUUGUGGAUUUUAAGAGGGCUGGAACUGCAUGUGUUAGAAAUUGUAACUUUGGACUGACUUUUCAGUGUUUGCUCAUGCUGCAUAACAUGCUGUGCUGACCUGCUCUGUCCAGUUCGAUUUCUUGGCCUUGGAUUUUCUUGUAUCAAUUUAAAAAUGAAACCAAGUAUCUUCAUUUAAAACACUUUCACAAUAAUUGAGAUAAGACCAAGAACCAUUUGUGAGCUAGAAGCCACAGCGCAGUUAAUGAGACUUUCUGGGAAAAUACUUGCUACUGCUGUAGCAGAUCUUUCACAGAGGUCAUGGCGUGGAGCCAGGGGAGGUUGGUAGACAACUAGGCAACCAGAAAAGAACAAGUGUGUCAGCAUGUACAGCUGAUUACUGUGAGAAUAAUUUUCCAUAAGCAUAGCCUGCACGGUGUUUGCUUCAGAGGGGUUUAAUUUUGCUCUCAACUUGCUAGCAACUAAGUUCUUUUUAACUGUAGUAGAAAGUCAUUUGUUCUAAUUAGAAGGAAUAAGUCAGUAUCAUUUUUAAUAAUCCCACAUUGCAGUCGGCUUUUGUUUUGAUUUCUGUUAUCUACAGUGAUCAUUUCUAAAAUGUCUCAAAGCUAGAAAAUAUGAGAAAUCUUACCCUUAGAGUGAGAGGAGAAGGCAGCUUUUAGUCACUACGUUUUCCUGCUUGUUAAUGCUAGCUGGAUUCCAGUGUGUAAUCAUAAGAAAUAAAAACACUUUCUUUUCUGGGUUCGUGGUUACAACCACAGCAUAACUCAGUUGGGUCAGUUUUGUGGUGCUCUAUCACCCAAAAUGUCAAACCAAGUAUUCCUGAAUCACAGUGUCCAAAGCAGGUGUAAGUGUGUUUGACUGCUGCACUGUGUCUUUGCUUCCUUUUCUGGCUACAUUUGCAUGCAAGGUCAAGGGUGAAAGAGUGCACUGUGCAGAUCUCUGUUGUAUGGAGAUGUCUUUCACACUAAUUCCUUGUUCGCUGGUUGCCUAAGGUAUGGUAUAAGGUAGACUGACUGGAAUAAAUGCGUGAACUGUAAACUUCCAAAAGAAAAGACAAAAUCAAUUCAUACUUACACCGAAAAAUGAUUUUGACAAAAUAAUGACAUACUCAGUUUUUAAUAUUGUUCUUGAAUAUACAGAAUGUUUGCCAAAGUCUCUAUAGUCACAUGUGUUUGAUUUCAGAAGUGCUGCAAUCCAUAACCUGCAGCCUAUUUAAUUUUGCAACAUGAGCUGUCUUUAUCUAUUAUUUAUUGUCUUCACAUAUGAGGAGAAUCAAAACAUCAGACAGAAAGAACACUUUGGCUUUGAGGAUGAGUCAUAGGAGCGAGAUGAAAUUCAGUAGGAAGAAGUGCUGUGCUUAAGUGUCUCAGCUGAGGAAAGUGAGCAUGGUGCAGAGCUGCCAGCAUGGAGACUUGGGUGGGCAAAUGCAAGCCACGUGGACUUCAAGGGAAGAGCCUGCUACUAAAGCCAAGGAGGUGUUAGUACAGUUGUAAAGGCCCUAGUUUACCUGACUGGAAAUAAUGCAUGUGAUUCUGUCUGCCCAUUUUCAAGAAGAUGAAUUUUGUAGCUGAGAACGUGCUCUAUCAAAU
This 9276-nucleotide long non-coding RNA is filed under the name Gallus gallus (chicken). Lineage: Eukaryota; Metazoa; Chordata; Aves; Galliformes; Phasianidae. The record is from RNAcentral.